GCCAGACAUGGUGGCGCAUGCCUGUAAUCCCAGCAGCUCAGGAGGCUGAGGCAGAAGGAUCUCAAGUUCAAGGCCAGCCUCAGCCACUU
This 89-nucleotide small RNA is filed under the name Marmota monax (woodchuck). The record is from RNAcentral. Lineage: Eukaryota; Metazoa; Chordata; Mammalia; Rodentia; Sciuridae.